This 433-nucleotide ribosomal RNA is filed under the name uncultured bacterium. RNAcentral describes it as "partial 16S ribosomal RNA". It matches the Rfam family "Bacterial small subunit ribosomal RNA", at positions 29 to 507 of the family's 1533-position model. The record is from RNAcentral.
AACGAACGCUGGCGGCAGGCCUAACACAUGCAAGUCGAACGAAGUCUUCGGACUUAGUGGCGCACGGGUGAGUAACACGUGGGAAUAUACCUUACGCUGGGGGAUAACAUCGGGAAACUGAUGCUAAUACCGCAUACGCCCUUCGGGGGAAAGAUUUAUCGGCGAAAGAUUAGCCCGCGUCCGAUUAGCUAGUUGGUGAGGUAAUGGCUCACCAAGGCUCCGAUCGGUAGCUGGUCUGAGAGGAUGACCAGCCACACUGGGACUGAGACACGGCCCAGACUCCUACGGGAGGCAGCAGUGGGGAAUAUUGGACAAUGGGCGCAAGCCUGAUCCAGCCAUGCCGCGUGAGUGAUGAAGGCCUUGGGGUUGUAAAGCUCUUUCACCCACGACGAUGAUGACGGUAGUGGGAGAAGAAGCCCCGGCUAACUUCGUG